Molecule: long non-coding RNA, 439 nt
Organism: Homo sapiens (human)
Lineage: Eukaryota; Metazoa; Chordata; Mammalia; Primates; Hominidae
Gene: RFX5-AS1
Product: RFX5 antisense RNA 1
Exons: 2
Source: RefSeq, marked validated
AACUCAUGCGCUGGGCGUCAGAAACCCGGCAGGGGAAUGGGGUCCCAGAUUCCGGGCACGUGCACAUGGGUGAAGAAGCUGUUGAAAAUACAGCUACAAUCUUUUUCUGCUCUCCUCCCAACUCAUCUUGCCCCUCCCUACCUCUGAACAGUCGCCUUCCAACACAAGCAACAAUAAAGUUUAGUCUACGGUCCUCAGAGCUGCCGGAAGAGAAGAAUCAAUGGAUGAUAAAAUAACUAGACAAUGAUGGGUAGGAGUGAUGGAAGUUCACUGUAAGCUCCUAUAACCCCCCAUCACCAUCACCACAUGCCUAAUACAACCUGCAGACACACUUACUCGCAACAGACCUGCAAUCUGGGCUCUCUUUUCCUUCUUGAUGGAGGCCUCAAAACCUCAGCAGUUGUACCCAUUAAACUAAAAUGCUUUUUCCCUCUUAGUA